Molecule: unclassified non-coding RNA, 375 nt
Filed under: uncultured Flavobacteriales bacterium
Lineage: Bacteria; Pseudomonadati; Bacteroidota; Flavobacteriia; Flavobacteriales
Description: contains 16S-23S intergenic spacer region
Source: RNAcentral
UCACGGUUUACACCGGCAGUUUUGUUAGAGUCCCCGGCUUUACCCGUUGGCAACUAACAAUAGGGGUUGCGCUCGUUAUAGGACUUAACCAAACACUUCACAGCACGAACUGAAGACAACCAUGCAGCACCUUGUAUUACGUCUUAUAGACUAAGUUGUUUCCAGCUUAUUCGUAAUACAUUUAAGCCUUGGUAAGGUUCCUCGCGUAUCAUCGAAUUAAACCACAUGCUCCACCGCUUGUGCGAAACCCCGUCAAUUCCUUUGAGUUUCAAUCUUGCGAUCGUACUUCCCAGGUGGAUCACUUAUCGCUUUAACUUAGCCACUGAAUAUAGUUUUUCCAAUAGCUAGUGAUCAUAGUUUAGGGCAGUGGACUAC